RNAcentral lists this transfer RNA (73 nucleotides) under Porichthys myriaster (specklefin midshipman). RNAcentral's name for it is "tRNA-Asn". Lineage: Eukaryota; Metazoa; Chordata; Actinopteri; Batrachoidiformes; Batrachoididae. The record is from RNAcentral.
UAGGUGAAUACUUGUUGGUUUAAGUGCUUAGCUGUUAACUAAGAUAUUGUGGGAUCGAGGCCCUCUCACCUAG